Molecule: ribosomal RNA, 258 nt
Filed under: uncultured bacterium
Lineage: Bacteria
Description: partial 16S ribosomal RNA
Rfam family: Bacterial small subunit ribosomal RNA
Source: RNAcentral
UAGUACCUACGGGAGGCAGCAGUGGGGGAUAUUGGACAAUGGGGGAAACCCUGAUCCAGCGACGCCGCGUGAGUGAAGAAGUAUUUCGGUAUGUAAAGCUCUAUCAGCAGGGAAGAAAGAAAUGACGGUACCUGAGUAAGAAGCCCCGGCUAACUACGUGCCAGCAGCCGCGGUAAUACGUAGGGGGCAAGCGUUAUCCGGAAUUACUGGGUGUAAAGGGAGCGUAGACGGUUAAGUAAGUCUGGAGUGAAAGGCCGG